UACGAAGGAUCCGAGCGUUAUCCGGAUUUAUUGGGUUUAAAGGGUGCGUAGGCGGAUUUACAAGUCAGUGGUGAAAUCUCCCAGCUCAACUGGGAAACUGCCAUUGAAACUGUUUAUCUUGAGUACAUUUGAGGCGGGCGGAAUGUGUCAUGUAGAGGUGAAAUUCUUAGAUAUGACACAGAACACCAAUUGCGAAGGCAGCUCGCUAAACUGUAACUGACGCUGAGGCACGAAAGCGUGGGGAUCAAACAGG
RNAcentral lists this ribosomal RNA (253 nucleotides) under uncultured bacterium. Its description in RNAcentral is "partial 16S ribosomal RNA". It matches the Rfam family "Bacterial small subunit ribosomal RNA", at positions 524 to 776 of the family's 1533-position model. The record is from RNAcentral.